AUGACUACUGGUUUAGUGGGAGUGAUCCCAGGAAGCAUGGGCGCAAAGAAUAAUGAAAGACGUGAAGCAGGGAGAGAGGGAGAGCCACCUACAGCUACAGCUGCCACCACGGCAACUGGUAAUGCUGGGAAACAGCAUGGACACAAGCUGAUGGUCGUGCACCUAAAGGCUGACGCCCUCAGCCUUUUGAGCGAAACCAUCUUGGUUUUGAACCCUCCGGUACGUUUCCCGGGCAGCCUGUGUCAGACAGCCCCGAAUUUGGAAGUGAGUGCUCCCUUCAGAUCUUUGCUUUGGGGUGGUGUCAUAAACAAAUCUGGGUUGUGUUCUCACGCUCACCACCAUCUCCUCCAAACCUUUGAUGUAUUUAUGUCCAAGUUCAAGGAUUAUAUGAGAAGCUGUGAACAUUUACCUCUUGGAUCCAUGGCAGAGAGGCUGGGGCUGGGCCUUUAGCUACCAGCUGUGUGAAUGGCCCUGAUGGGUCUCAGCUAGACUCUUCCUCUGGGACUCUCUCUAUCACAAGCACCCCAGACGUAGUAGAGGAAGUGACAGAGUCCCCCGUUAUGUUCCUGCAAGGGACCACGCUUGGCAGAUGUGGGGGUCCCAGCAAGAAGUGGGGAUUGGAGAGAGAGCGAUAACAAUGGCAAUAACCCCGCGUGAAAACACUGCGUUUGCUUCUCAAACAACCUAGACCGGCAUUCACGGCCUGCUUGCACACUCCUCUGUCUGUGGAGCCACUUUCUUCUGUCUGGGCACACAGCUGAGCACCCUUCUGUCUGGAGGCAGAUGGUCUGCAGGUUUCACUGUGCAGCCGCCACCUCUCUGAGAACGUUUGAACCUGCUCCUAUUGGCUUGAAAGGUAAUCUGUUUUAUACGCGCAUUUUCCUCUAGCUUUGUGUACAUAAGCCUCAGAGGACAAGCACUUACAUGCCCUCCUAAUCUUUUCAUAACGGAUGGCUGUGGUGAGACACAUUUUUCCCCUGCACCUCGUCCCCCUACCUUACAUGUGGAGAUGUUGCAAUUAAAUACAUUUUGUUUGCAGUAUCUCGGGCCUGCCAACACACACACACACGUGUGUGUGUGUGUGUGUGUGUGCAGGGGAGGUGUGUGAGUGGGGCCUGACAGCAAGGCUGAUUUGCUAUCUGAAGGGAUGGAUCUGUACAGACAGAGAUGUCAGUCUAGGAAUAUGAGCCUCAGGACGCGUGGGGAUCACUUUAACUCCUCACACUGACCCAGAGCUGUGGUUCGCAGGCCAGCGUCACACACGGUGUAACAUUUGGUGUCACGGAGACUCUUUCUCCGGGAUGGCACAUUCAUCCCCACCACAGUUCAUCCUCUCUCCCUUUCCCCACCUCUCUUCUCUUCUUUAAAAACAGUUGUGUCAUUUAGUUGAAAGCUGGCCAGCCAACAAGGUGGCUAGGUGAUAGAUAGAUGAGGUAGAAUCUCCCAUCUA
RNAcentral lists this long non-coding RNA (1450 nucleotides) under Oryctolagus cuniculus (rabbit). RNAcentral describes it as "lncRNA (ENSOCUG00000032579.1)". The record is from RNAcentral. Lineage: Eukaryota; Metazoa; Chordata; Mammalia; Lagomorpha; Leporidae.